Molecule: ribosomal RNA, 495 nt
Filed under: uncultured bacterium
Lineage: Bacteria
Description: partial 16S ribosomal RNA
Rfam family: Bacterial small subunit ribosomal RNA
Source: RNAcentral
GACGAACGCUGGCGGCGUGCCUAAUACAUGCAAGUAGAACGCUGAAGGAGGAGCUUGCUUCUCUGGAUGAGUUGCGAACGGGUGAGUAACGCGUAGGUAACCUGCCUGGUAGCGGGGGAUAACUAUUGGAAACGAUAGCUAAUACCGCAUAAUAGUAGAUGUUGCAUGACAUUUGCUUAAAAGGUGCAAUUGCAUCACUACCAGAUGGACCUGCGUUGUAUUAGCUAGUUGGUGGGGUAACGGCUCACCAAGGCGACGAUACAUAGCCGACCUGAGAGGGUGAUCGGCCACACUGGGACUGAGUCACGGCCCAGACUCCUACGGGAGGCAGCAGUAGGGAAGCGUCGGCAAUGGACGGAAGUCUGACCGGGCAACGCCGCGUGAGUGAAGAAGGUUUUCGGAUCGUAAAGCUCUGUUGUAAGAGAAGAACGAGUGUGAGAGUGGAAAGUUCACACUGUGACGGUAUCUUACCAGAAAGGUACGGCUAACUACGUG